RNAcentral lists this non-coding RNA (29 nucleotides) under Rattus norvegicus (Norway rat). Lineage: Eukaryota; Metazoa; Chordata; Mammalia; Rodentia; Muridae. The record is from RNAcentral.
UCACGUGUUCAGCUGUGUGUACUAGUGUA